RNAcentral lists this long non-coding RNA (32967 nucleotides) under Cucumis sativus (cucumber). RNAcentral's name for it is "long non-coding RNA (CSAT_LNC000384)". The record is from RNAcentral. Lineage: Eukaryota; Viridiplantae; Streptophyta; Magnoliopsida; Cucurbitales; Cucurbitaceae.
UUUAUAUUAUAAAACAAACUAGAGUAUAGUAUACCUCUCUCAUUUAUUUAAACCAAACUACAAGUAGGGUAGUUGGAGUGAGACAAACUUAGAGAUUCAUAUUCUUAGCUUUUGCAACAUGGUUGCUUUGGUCGAAUUUCAAAACUUUUAAAGAUCAAUCCCGACUUCCAAUGUUGAUUGUGGUUAUACAUGCUAAACUCGUACUCCUUAGCAUUCAAACAACCAUGUUUAUCGCCAAUCUUGAAUUCCUCGACCUUGAUCGUAAACCAAACAUCUCGUGGCUUACAUUCUAGGCUUUCACUGUUCACAAAUUUUGUCCCAUUUGGCAAGGUGAGUCCAAAGUUAAUAGGUUCAUGCCAUCCCGAUGCACACGACUUUAACAAAAGAUGACAUAAUAGUUCAUAUGUAACGCCAGCUGAUAGCAUAUAUUCCUUGAUCCUUACACGUACAUCUAGCCAACGAACUUUUACAAGCUCAGCCACGUCAAUUUUCUUACUGCCAAAGUUUUUUUACACCAUCAUCAACAAAUAAACAACUUUUAAAAUAAUGACCGACUACUUAAAAAAAACUACUUAUUAUAUUUUUUAAACCUCGUAUUCAUCUCUAUGGUUUCACAAAAAGUUAAGUUCAAUUUAAUCUUGUCAAUUUUUAGAAAGUAGUUUCAUUAGUGAAACAUUUAUCAAAUCAUAGAGACUAAUUUAAUCUACUUUGUUCCGUAAAACCAUUUCACAAAAUUACACCCAAACAACCCUUUUAAUUUUGAUUAGUAAAUAAAUAAUGAAGAUUAAAGUUCAUUCAUUCAAACCUAAUCUAUCUCUUCUUUUGUGUUUUAUUUUUUCAUUUUUUUUAUCUCAGUAUAUACCUUCCAUAAUUCAUCAUUUCAUUUUUCAACACAUAAAAAAAAAGAAAAACAUAAAAAAAGAAAAAGAAAAAGAAAACCAAUUCAAAUUUUGUUCUCGUAAUUUAAAUUUUGUUUAAUUUUAAUAAACUACUUUCCAUAAUAAAUCUUAAAUGUAGCUUACAUGAAUAUGUGUUUUCUAAAUUUAUGGGAAAAUUAAUAUUGUUUAUACAUAACAAAGAGUUUAUUUAUUUAUGUAAAAUCAACCAUAAACUAACAAUAUGGAUUAAAACUUAUUGAAAGGAGAAAGAACUAAUAACCUGCUUUCAAAUAUAAUCAACUAAGUUAACUAACUUACAAAUAAAUAUAUAGCAAAUUAAAUCGAUGUAGACACUGACAAUAUAUAUAAGUGUAAAUUGUGACAUUUUAUUAUAUUAGAAAAUUGAUAUUUCAAAAUAUAGAAACGAAGACGAUAUUUAAUGCGGUUAGAAAAAAUAAGAAUACCCAAAAAUCUCGAUAGAUAUCCAUCUCCAGUACUGACAUUCAUUGAUCCAAGCUAUUGAGAUGGCUUUUGGAAAUAUGAAGUAGGCAUUACCCCUUCCCUUCCUAUGAAACCAAUAAAUCUGCAUACAAACUAAUCAUAAUCAACUCUUUAACAAAUUUUAAUUAAAGAUAAAUAAUAAUAAUAAUAACAAAAAAGAAAUUUCCAUAUCUUCUGUGUUUUAAGUUUAUUUCUAUGUAAAAAAAAUUGAACGCUAAUAUCAAGAUUUGUUCGAGAAUCAUUUUAAUAUUUGGUUCUAUACUUUUAACUAAGUAUUUUUUUUUCUAGUAAAUAUUUGGUUUGAUACUUGUAGAAAUAGUUUUGUUCCAUGUAUGAUCAAUUGAAAUAAUUUUUUCAAGGACUAAUGUUUUUUUGUUUUUAAUGUUAGUUGUAGAAUCAUCCAAUUACUAAAAGAAAUUUAGAUUAAAAACAAUUACAUGCAUAUGCAUGGAAGUUAAGAUUAUUAGAUGUAAAGAAGAAAUUUAGAAAUAGAACAAACACAAUUUUAGAAGAAAAGUGAUUUGAGACAAGUUGAAAUGAGUGAUUUUAGUCUUUACAAAAUCACUCAUAAUCAUAUCUUUUUAACUCUUUUUAUAAGUCCUUCUAAUAUCAACUAUAUAAUACUCUAAAAGAAAUUAAAAAUAAUGUUACACUUGCCUUAGAUCCAUUGUUGAGGGAAGUCCCAUCACAAAGUUGUUUAUAGAGCUCAGAGGGGGAGGGCCAGUGCACCUCAUGAUCUCCAGUUGUUGGCAAAAUAUAACUCAAGCAAUGACCAUAUUUCUCUUUUGUUUCCGAGUUCUCUCUUGCUUCAAGCUCUGAGGAAACCAUUUCAAGAGGUUAACUUGGAUAGUAAGAGAGUAGAGAUAUGGAUGAAGAUGAGAGUGGUGUAAAACGUGCACACACACGUAUAUAUAGGCUCUAUCUUGUUUCGUAUAAUAAUGUUUUAAAGAUGGGACGUGACAAUUAGCUAUUAUAAUGUCCCUUAUCUUUAGCUAUUUGAUAAUUUUAAAAAGCAACGAUUUAAUUAUGGUCAAAAUAAGAAUUACUCAAAGUGUUAUAAUACAUGCACUAGAAUUAAUUUCAAGAUUAAACUUUUGAUUCUCUUCACACCUCGUUUGUCUAUAGUAAAAAAAAAAAGAAAAAAAGUAAAUGAUUUAAUUCUCUAUAUCUCAUUUUUUUCCUCUCUCCUUCCCUAUUAGCUUUUUCUUUCACAUACAUGUACCUUUUUAUACAUUAAUUUAAAUUUAAAUAUUUUGAUUAAAUCUAUAAUUGAAUCCAUUACAUGAAAAUUAACUUCACAACAAUAUAUAGAAUUGACAUAAUUAAUUAUUUUAACCAAUUAUGUAGUAUUUAAUAAAAUUUAAUUAUGUAACAAUGUCUUGGCUUGACUGAUCCUCCCCUCAACAAAUGCCUCUUAUACUUGGUCCAACCUCAGAGUUUCUGUUCUCUGCAGACUUGACAUAUUCCUAUAUUCCUCGUCCGGGGAAAGCAAGUUUACCAAUCAUUUUAGCAAGCUUCUAUUUUGCUUGAAUCAAAGAACCUCAAAUGGGAUCUGGUUCCCUUCAGGAUCAACAAUUGUAUGCAGAAUGAAAAAGAGUUACUUAAUAAAGUGGUUAGUUGUUGGCCAAACACUGCACAAGAGAGAUAUCUUGGCUAUGCUUUCAUGCGAAGACUGAGACAAUUGACCAGAAAAAUCAAAAGUUGGCAGUUCGAGAAGAAAAAUGCAUCUAAAAGGGAUAGUGAAGCUUUCAAAUCUGAGAUAGACAAGAUUGACUUGCUGGAAGCCUAGAAUGCCCUUAUAUUUAUUUAUAGUGACCAAAGGAAAAUCUUAUAGACCGACCUUGCUGAUCUUAUUUUCAAAGAAUCUCAAUACUGAACUUAGAGAGCUAAAAAAAUGUGGCUGGAAGAAGGAGAAGAAAACACCAGCUUUUUUCAUAAGGUUUGCAAUGCCAGAAGGAGGAGGAAUUAAAUAUUCGAUAUUUACGAUAGCAUAGGCUCUUGUUCUAAUACGAAUGAUGGCAUUGAAAGAGCUUUUAUUGAUGACUACAACUCCAUCUACUCCUCCAACAAUAAUAAUCCUCCCUCUGUCAUUGAGAAUCUCAAUUGGCAACCUAUAGAUAAUUCUCAAUCCACUCACCUUAAAACUCCUUUUCCUUUGGAAGAAAUCAAAGAGGCACUUUCAUCUUUUCACAGUAAUAAAGCACUAGGGCCAGACAGAUACACUAUAGACUUUUUUUUAAAAAAAAAUUGAAACAUUUUCAAGCCAAAUAUAUUGGAAGUGUUCUAGGAUUUUUUUCAAAAAUGGUGUGAUAAACAAAAAUAUGAAUGAAACAUAUAUCUCUCUAAUUGCCAAGAAAGAUAAAUGUAGGACUGAUGCAGAUUAUAGGCCUAUCAAUCUUACUACCUCCGUAUACAAGAUUCUUGCCAAGACUUUAGCCACAAGAGUGAAACUAUUAUUGCCUCAUACUAUAUCGAGCCAUCAAAUGGCCUUUAUUGACGAAAGAUAAAUUACUGAUGCAAUCUUAAUUACUAAUGAAGUCAUUGAUUUCUGGAAACGCAAGAAGAUAAAAGGCCUGAUCUUCAAGCUUGAUAAUGAAAAAGCUUUCGACAAGAUCAAGUGCAACUUCACUAUGCCUUGAUGAAAAAAAAAAAUCGGAUAUAUGGAGAAGAUGGAUGCAAUCCUUCAUUCCAACGGCUCAAUCUAUAUUUUGAUAAAUGGUAAACCAAGGGGGAGGAUCAUUCCUGAAAGAGGCAUCAGGCAAGGAGAUCCCAUUUCUCCCUUCAUAUUCGUGAUAGCUAUGGACUACCUCAGUAGAAUACUACAACACCUCGAACAAUCAAAUAUGCUUACAAGUAUAUCCAUCAAAGAUUUCAAUCUUACUCAUCUUCUCUUUGUAGAUGGUAUCUUGCUCUUUGUUGAGGAUAAAGAUGAAAAUAUAUAAACAUCCAAUAUGCUAUACACCUUUUUAAGGCGGCAACUGGUCUAAAUUAAACAUUAACCUUUCAAAAAUCUACCAUCUCUCCAAUAACGUUUUCACUGAAAGAUCAGAUCAUAUUGCAAAAAACUGGGGAAUAAAAUUGAAUUCAUGCCCAUCUCAUUCGGGUAUGCCGUUGGGGGUAAACCAAGCUCCAAACCUUUUUGGGACAACAUAAUAGAGAAGGUUUAGAAAAAAUUGAGUAACUGGAAAUACUCUCACAUUUCCAAAGGUGAGAGAACCACUCUAAUAAAGUCUUCCCUAUCUGUUUCCAAAGCCCCAUUACAGACAUGUGUAAAGUCAUUGAAAAGUAUUGAAGGAAUUUUCUUUGGAGAGGCAACUUUGAAAAUACUUGCAAUUCAAGCAACCACAAAAAAAAUUUAAAUCUAGAGGUCCAUCAUUGAGGCUAAAUAUUCAACUACUUGUCUGGAUGAUUUUUCCAUUAUUGCUAAAUAUAGCCGUCUAAAUGGUUCAUGCAUGAAGAUCCAUUUGCAAAGAUGUGAAAUGGUUUAACUCUCAUUUGGGCUGGAAAAUGAAAAAUUGCAUAAUGUUAUCUUUUUGGCACAGUAACUGGAGUUCAUUUGGUCCUCUUUACAAUUCUUUAACCAGAUUAUAUGCUCUUUCCACUCAGGAAAAUGGCUCCCUCAGAGAUAUGUGAAAUUUUGAACAAUGUGGGUGAGAUUUACACAAUAGAAGGCCCCUAAGAGAAAGAGAAGCUUCACAGUGAAGUAACAUUAGUGCAAACUUGCCCCCCGCUCCCAUUCCGAAAAACAAUCAAUUGGAUUGCUUCAUUUGGAAACCAAACAGAAAUAGUUCUUUUAUAGUUCAAUCUGCUCAAUUUGUCAGCCUUGCCUCUACCUUCUCUUCUCCUACCUUAGAUGGUCCCUUCUCCUACCAUUCAUGAACAUAUGGAAAUCAAAGAUUUUUAAAAAAUACAAAAUUUUCCUAUGGUUUGUUAUCCCACAAAGGAAUCUUUACAAAUGAGUCGAUUCAACACAUGCUAAAAAAUCUUUGUCUCAACCCAAAUUGUUGCAUCUUAUAUAAAAAUAGUAGUGAGACCACAUAUCACAUCUUCCUCCAUUGCUCUAUUGUCAAAUCUUUUUGGAACAAAGCAAAGGAUCUCACAGAAUCGGCAAAUAAUGUUGACAACCUUAUAGCUUUAUGCAAUCACAUCUGCACUAUACACGUUAAGUUUCAAAAGGGUUUGAUUCUUUUCAAACUUCUGAUGGACAUCACUUGGACAACUUGGUUGGACAGAAACAACAAACUCUUCAAUAAUAGUUAGGCCUCCUCCAUUAAUCUAUGGGAGAAUAAAUGCAACCUCACUAGUUUUUGGUUUACCAAACACAAGCUCUUCAAAACAUUAUUAUGCUUCUACAAUAGCUUUAAAUAUCAGUAUUUUUUGUUAGUUUAUGAGCUCUUACAUUAUGACUUAUCUUUAGCCUAUUUGUAACUGUUUUGAACUAUGUAUCCCUAUGUGCUUUAUUGAAUAUAUUUAUGAGAAUGAUGAUGACACUAAGAGGGUGUCCACCUAGUGGGGAUGCUUGGGUGCGCCUGCUGACCCAUCAAGUAUCAUUUUCUAAAAAUUGAAUGAGGAAUUGAAGUGUGUACUUAAUGAGCCAUUUGGGGCGAGGAGUAACUUAUGAUAAAUAGUUUAGGGAUUAUAAUCGUCUGAGUAUUAUAAUAGUGUGUGGAUUAUUAUAGUCUGCAUUUGGGUGUAGACUAUAAUAGUAUGUUUUCAUAGUCUACGUUUAAGGUGUAGACUAUUAUAGUCUGUGCCAUUAUAAGCUGUGUUUAAGAUGUAGACAGUUAUAAUAUGAGUUUUUCACUAUUUUUUUUGUGUACAUAUAUAUUGUACAUGAAAUACACAUUUUACUUCAAUCGAUUUUAUUAAAUUUGGUUAAUUAGGAUGCUCAUCUAAUAAAUUUAGCUUCAAACUAGAUUUUCCACCGCAUACAUGAAAUACACAUUUUUCUUACAUGAAUAUAGUAGUUUUGCAUUUUCAUUAUAAUUAUAGAAUACAACAAUAAACAUAAUCAAAUGGACCAUACUACUUUUCAAAUUACCAUUGAUAGAUUACAUUUCCUCCAAAAUAAACAUGGUCUUAAUUCAUUUACGUGGGUAAAAGAAAAAUGAGAUACGUAAAGAUGAAUACAUCUUGAGAUUUAUCUAAGCAUCGUUGUUUUUAAUUUUUUCACAAAAAAUUACUACAAAAUCAUACAUUGUAUCGAAACAUUUUUCCUUUUUUAUCACAUACUAGUUGUAAGCAUAUUUUUAACUUUUAAAAAAGUUUAAUUAAGUAUAAAUGUAACUUGAAAAAUAUUUUUUAAACAAAAUACCAUGGUCCUAGUUUUUAUAAAGAACACUAACAACUGAGAUAAUUUUCUAUAAUUUAGUUAGAGAACAAGACCUUUAUUAGUUAAAAUUAAAAUAUUUGGAUAAGAGUGAUAGGAACUAACUCAUAUGUUAAAGAAUUAUUUUAAUAUUUGGUUUCUCAAUUUUGAAAAGUAAAUAUAUUUUUUUUUGGUAAUAUUGUGAUAAAUCAUUUCAAAUAUAAUUUGGGUUUUAUACGUGUAGAUAUAGUUUUUUUUUCAAUGUAGGAUCCAUUUAAAUUUAAUUGAAAAUAAUUUUUUAAAUGAUUAAUGUUUGCUUUUUUGUAGGUUAGUUUUAGAAUCAUCAAAUUUAAAAAAGAAAUUUAAAUUUUAGAUUAAAAACAAUUAAAAUAUUUAUAAACUAUAAUAAAAUUUUAGAUUCUAUCAAUAAUAAAAACUGAUAGACUUCUAUUACUGGAUAUCAAUGCCACUAAUAUAAACAUAUCAAUGCAUGACUAUCAAUGUCUAUUACUGAUAGAAUCUGAAAAUUUUACUUGUAUAUAUUUUGUCAAAUUUGCUAUUUUUUACAAUUCCCCUAAAAAUAAUUGGAUGCAUGAAAGAUUAUUAGACGUAGAGCAGAAAUUUGGAGAUAGAAAAAACACCAUUUUAGAAAAAAAGUAAUUUGUGAUUUUAAUCGUUUCAAAACCACUCCCAAACAUAUCUUUUAACUUCUUUAUAAAUCCUUCUAAUAUAAACUAUAUAAUACUCUAAAAAAACUUACAAAGAGUGUUACACUUGCCUUAGUUCCCUUGUUUAGGGUGAUCCCAUCACAAAGUUGUUUAUAAAGCUUAGCAUAGGUAGGCCGUUUAUAAAGCUUAGCAUAGGUAGGCCAAUGCACCACGAUAGUUAGAGUUCUUGGCAAAAUAUAAGUCAGUCAAUGACCAUAACUCUCUUGUACUUGCGAGUUCUCUCUUGCUUUUGUCUCUAUGCAAACCAUACUUGAGGAGGUUAAUUUGGAUUAUUAAGAGAUCGGAGAUGUGGAUGAAGAUGAGAGUGGUGUGAGGAACACAAACACACAUAUAUAUAGGCUCUUGUUUCGUACAUUAAUGUUUAAAGAAUAGGACAUGGUAAUUAGCUAUUUUGAUGUCGCUUGUGUAAAGGUAUCUGAUACUUUUAAAAGUAACGAUUUAAUGUCAAGGUGAGUAUUACUAUUUAUACUGUAAAUUAAUUUUAAGAUUAGACCUUUUAAUUUUCUAUGGUCAAAAAAGGAAAAAAAUAAAGUAAAUGGUUUAAUUCUCUAUAUCUCUUUUUUUUCUUUUUCUCUUCCCCCUUAACUUUGUUUCACAUAUAUCUAUUUUUUUUAUACAUUAAUUUUUAUUUUUAUUUUUAAAUUAAAAUGUAUUAUAUGAAAACUAACUUCAUAACAAUCUAUAGAAUUAACAUAAUUAAUUAUUUUAACCAAUUCUGUAGUAUUUAAUAAAAUUAAGGUAUGAUUGAGUGAGGAAUUGAAGUGUGUACUCUUUUUAUUGGUUAGAAUAUAUUACAUUUUAGUAUUUUAUGGGAAAUUUUAAUCAGUAAAAUAAUCUAUAUAUAUCAAUUUAUACUAUGAGAAUUUACAAAAAUAACAAAAGAAAAAAUCUAGUAUUUACAAAAAUAAUAAAAGAAAAAAUUAAGAUAAUAGAGUCCAUGUCACUUACAUUUUCAAAAUUAUAAAAAUAGCAAAUUUAAAAGUAGAUUACUGUUUGAUUACCAUCGUAUUUGCCAAAUUUGCACUAUGCAAAAAAGAGGUGUUAUAGACUUUUUUUUAUAAUUUUUUUGUCAUCUAAUGCAAUUUCCUUUUACAUUAAUCCGCUUUUUUUCUUUUCAUUAUGACAUCUUUUCGCAAAUAUAAUUGUUGUUGCUCUUUAGUUUGUAUCUCACAUAUGGUACGAUUCCUCUUCUGAUCAAUUCUCUAGAAAAUCUCGCAUACCAAUCAGAACAACAAAUGAUUAAAUCGUCUAGUUGAACAAAAACUGCAAAACAGAAAACAUGUUAGUAGAUGACUGAGUCGCAGAUCACGCUCUCUUUAAGAUGUUUCGCGACUCUGCUCUCUUUGUGCAAACAAUAUGAUAGCCUCGUCGUCUCUAGGAUAAAACAGCCUUGAUCUUCAAUUGGUUUUGCAUAGAAACCAACUGAAAUUCACAAACACUCAAGAUGAUAUUGUGUUGCUUAGUACACAAAAAGUAAUUUUGUUUUGGGAGAGUAUGAAAUCAGGAGAAUUUUCUUUUUCUACGAUGUUUAGGUGAAGAAAGACUGUAUAUAUAGAAGUGGAGAGGGUUAAUGACCAAUUAAUCUAGAAAAUGAAAAUAAUUAUCAAUUAAUUCAGAAAAUAAAGGUUUUGGAAAGUCAAAAGUCAAAGAAAAACGUUUUAGUAAAAAUAUAUAUUAUUUUAUUCCUCCUCGCCCACUCGAGGAGGUCGUGUGGAGAUAUGAGCAUAUCUACAUUUGCCUAUCUCCUUUCUCCUACCAAGAGUCCAAACCAUUAAUGAAUCAAUGGGUAUAUGAAGCGACUUCCACAUUGCAAAUUAAGCAACAUGGGAAUGCAAUGUGGAAAUAAAAUAAUAAUAUAUUUCUUCUUUCACACAUUUUUCAUCCAAUAAUAACAAAGCAGAAAAAUAUUUACACCGUAUAGAAUAAUUUUUAAAAUAGAAAAAGCUCAUAAACCCACUAUGAAAAAUUCCAAAAAAGCUCGAUUAAUUGACAUCCAGCACACGUAAUAUAUUUGGCAAACGAUUGUUUAGAUUUGAUCAUUUUUCCUACAUGAUUGUUUAGAUUUGAUCGUUUUUCCAAAUCAAAAUGAUGUUUUUAUGUUUUUUUUUUUUUUUUGUACACGAUUGUUUGUGUUUAUCGUUUAAAUUUGGGUUGUCAAAUCUCAACGGUUUUUUUUCAAGAUUUUUUGGAACUCGUUUAUAUAAGGAAAAGACCGUUUAAAUUUGGUAAUGAUCGUUUAUAUUUGAAACACGAUCGUUUAUAUUUGACCGUUCCAAAUCUAAAUGAUUUUUUAAAGAUUCUUUGUACAUGAUCGUUAAGAUUUGACUAUCCAAUAUCUCAACAAUUUUUUUUCACGAUUUUUUUAUAUUUGGAAUAACUAAAUAUCAAUUUGAAAACUAAAAAAUUACACAAGAAGAGAAAAUGAUGAUGGAAAGAAAAAAAAAUUCGUAGAAGAGAAAGAAAAGAAAGACGAUGAAAAUGAAAAGGCAAACCUGAAAUAUUUUAAAUGAAUUUGUAUUACAUAAUGAACCAUCUUAAUUUAUUAAUGCCUAUACAUAAUAUAUAUUGUAUUACAUACCGUUUCAAAAGUAACGAUGUUUUCUUUCAACACAAAUAUCAAAUAUAGUCAUUAUCCACAAAAUAUAUUAACAUGACAUUUUCAAAUAUAGUAUAAUAUACCAAAAUAAUUAUAAAAUAUAACAAAAUUUUAGAGAUUGUUAACCAAUGUCUAUUAGUGUCUAUCAUUGAUAGAUAUAAUAUUUUGUAAAUAUUUUUAAUAAUUUUGUUAUUUACAAUAAUGUUUGUAGCUUGGUUCCUGUUUUUUCUUCGGAGAAAAGAAAAAUGAAAACAAAAUUGGUAUUUUAGUAUCAAGCAACUGUCAUUCCCUUAGGAAAAUACAUUUCAUAUAGUUUCACGAAGGAUAUACUUUAUCAAUAAAGUUAAGUCUCUGUUAACUUUAAUAUUAACUUUAACUUUAAUAUUUUUAGUUUCAUAUUAGAUUGAUACAAAGAGUUCAUAUAGUCAAUUCGAGUUGGAUGAAGAGCAUAUGGUGCUUGCUGAUUUUUUGGGUUGCCACAUUUGAUUUUAUAAUGAAUUAAAUAUAUUUUGGGUUAGAUAAGUUUUUGUUGAUACUGCAUAUAUAUAGGUGUGAUAUUUUGUUGAUAUAUUUGGAUAUAUCUAGAUGAAUUAGUUUAGUUGAUACUUUUGUUGAUACACCUAUAGUUAGGCUACACCUAUAGUUAGGCUGUUUUGUUAGAAAAGUUAGGCUAACUAUACAUGUAUGUAUAUGGUUCCAUUGAUAUUAUAUAUGUUAAAAUAUUAUUAAAAGUUCUUUGAUGGAAAUUAAAGUUAGUUCAUUCAAUUGUUCAACAAGUGUGAUCUCUUGUAUUACUUAUAUACAUUCGGCUACAAAACAGGUGCACGAAACAUUAUGAAGAUAUUUUAAAAUAUAUAAUUUUUUUUUCAAAGAAAAACUUAACUUGCAAAACAUGUCAAGAGUACAUGCAAAAAAUGUCAAGAAAUCACAUGUACUUAACGUUUAUAAACUAUCAAGUAUAACACUACUUGACGCUUAAAAUCUGUCAAACAAAAUCACUCUUAUUCUUGACACUAGAUUACUUGACGAUUAAAAAGUGUCAAGUAAUCUCAUAUACUUGACGUCUUUUACCUGUCAAGUAAACUGGUUUUACUUGACGAUUAAAACCAGUCAAAUAUACCUUCUUUAUUCUUGACACUGGAUUACUUAACACUUUUAAAAGCGUCAAGUAAACCUUUACUUGACAGUUUUUAAGCGUCAACUAAGGCCAAUUUUGUAGUAAUUGCUGUCUAGAUUCACACCACAAUCUAGGUUACUAGUUUCCAUUAUUUCAUUGUUUUUUAGUAUACCAUCCAAUGCUUCUUAACAUCAACAUUUUCUUUUGAGAUUCUAGAAUUAUUUGUCUAACUCUUGCGCUAUAUUUGUAAUAAAUAUAUAUAACAGAAAUAUAGAGCAAAAUAUAUAUAUAUAUAUAUAUAUAUAUAUAUAUAUAUAUAUAAAUAAAUAUACUAAGUAGAAGGUAGUUUUCUAUAUUAUAUAUAUAUCUUUAUUAAUUUUUUUUUUAUUGAACACUAUUACUGUAUUACAUAGUGAUAUUGUUGUUUAUAUUAGAAAACAAAGUAGAGUGUAGUAUACCUCUCUCAUUUAUUUAAACCAAACUACAAGUAGGGUAGUGGGAGUGGGAGUGAGAGAGAUGUAGUGAUUUAUAUUUUUAGCAUCCGCAACUGGAUUGUUUGGGUCGAAUUUCGAAACCUUUAAAUUUCAACCCCGUCUUCCAUUGACUACUGUGAUUGUACACUCUAAACUCAUACUCCUUAUCACUGUUACAAUCAUGUUUGUCGACCUUGAAUUCCCCAAUCUUGAUCGUAAACCAAACAUCUCGUGGCUUACAUUGUAGGCUUUCUUUGGUCUCAAUUUUUUUUCCAUCUGGGAGGGUGAUUACAAAGAUAACAGGUUCUUGCCAUCCAGAGGCACAAGGUGUAACGCAAACAUGACAUAAUACUUCAUAUAGAACUCCAGAUGAUAGUGCGUAUUGCUUCAACUUUCCACUUAUAUCCAACCAACAUACUUUUAUAAGCUGUGCCACGUCAAUUUUCUUACUGCCAAAUUUUUUUUACACCAUCAUCAACAAGUAAACAACUUUAAGAAAAAAUUACUAGCUACUAAAAAACAGUAUAUUUUUAUGCAUUCCAUCUAAUUGUCUGUAGAACGAAAAUUUUCUUUUCACGUCAUUUUUUUUAAAUCGUAAAUUUGGUCUUUAUUAGUUUAAGUAAAAGGUUAAGUUCAAUUUAGUCUUAUGAAAUUUUAGAAAGUGAUUUUAUUAAAGGGACAUUUUUAAAAAUAGCAAAAUAAAUUAAAAUAUCUACAAGUUAUAGCAAAAUUUUGAAUUCUAAUCUUCUAUCAUUAUAGUAUAUCAGUGACUAUCAAUAAUAAAAUUUGCUAUAGGUUAUAAAUUUUUUGUAAAAUUUACGGUUUUUGAAAAUUUUCCUUUAUUAAAUCAUAAAAACUAACUUUUUCUCAUUCCUAUUCCAAUGUCAGUAAUUUAAUCUAUUUGUUCUCUAUAAAACCAUUCCUCAAAAUUACAUCCAAUCAACCUUUUUAAUUUUAAUUACUAAAUAAACAAUAAAAAUUAAAGUUCAUUCAAAUUUAAACCUAAUCUUUUAUGUUUUAUUUUUUUCAUUUUUUUAAAGUCAGAAUAUACCUUCCAUUGUUCAAGAUUUUGUUUUCCAACACACAAGAAAAAAAAAUAGUAAGUUAAGAAAAUAAAAAGAAAACAAAUAGGACAGAAUGAGAUAUAUUUAAGGUUAAAAUUCCAGUUUUGUCCUUCUAAUUUAAAUUUUGUUUAAUUUUAAUCCAUACCUUUCCAUCAUAAUAAAUCUUAAAUUUAGUCGCUAACCUGAAUAAGUAUUUUCUAAAUUUAUGGUAAAGUUGUUUAUACAUAAACUUAGGUAAAAUCAACCCUAAGCAAGUUCUAUGGACUAAAACUUAAAUUUAUUGAAAGGGGAAGAAUUAUAUACUGCUUUCAAAUAUAACAAACUAAGUAAACUAACUUAUAAAUUUAUAACAAAUUAAAUUGACGUAAACACUGUAAAUAUGUAUAUGUGUAAAUCGGGAUAUUUUGUCACAUUCAAAAAUUGAUAUUUUAAAGUAUAGAAACUAGAACGAUAUUUAAUGAUAGUAAAAAAAAAAUAAACAUACCCAUAGAUCUCCCCGGGUAUCCAUUUCCAGUAUUGACAAUCAUCGAUCCAAAUUAUUGUGAGGGAUUUUGGAAGUAGGACAUACCUAUUACCCUUUCCCUUUUUGUCAAACCAAUAAAGCUGCAAACAAACUAAUCAUACUCAGCUCUUUGAACACAAUUAUCGAUCCAAGCUAUUACGAGGGAUUUUAGUGAUUUCAAAACCAAUCUCAAAUAUAUCUUUUAACUACUUUAUAAAUCAUAGUGUAAACAAAUUAAAAAGAAUGUUAGACUUGCCUUAGUUCCCUUGUUUAGGGUGAUUCCAGCAAUAAGUUGUUGAUAGAGCUUAGCAUAGGUAGGCCAAUGCACCGUGACAUUUAGAGUUUUUGGCAAAAUAUAAGUAAGACAAUGACCAUAACUCUCCUGUAUUUGCAAGCUCUCUCUUGCUUCUGUCUCUAUGCAAACCAUAUUUGAAAAGGUUAAUUUGGAGUAUUAAGAGAUUGGAGAGAUGGAUGAAGAUGAGAGUGGUGUAAGGCACAUAUAUAUACUCUCUUGUUUUGUAUCUUAUUGUUUCAAAGAUGGGACGUGGUAAUUAGCUAUUUUUAUCUCUUAUCUAAUCGUAUAUUAUACUUUUAAAAAGUGACCAUUUAAUGCCAAAAUGAGUAUUACUCAAUUGAUAUAAUAAAUAUAUGAAGAAUUUUCAAAAAUAUCAAAUUUUACAAAAUAUUUAUAACUUUUAGUAAAUUCUAUCACUAAUAGUCGUUGAUAUGUUAUAGUGAUUGAAUCCAAAAUUUUGUUAUAGCUUAUAAAUAUUUUAAUUUAUUUUGUUAUUUUUAAAAAUGUCUUUAUAUUAAAUUAACGUGAAGAUUAGACCUUUUGAUUUUCUACCCUUUAUCUAUGGUCAAAAAAAUAAAAAAAUAAAGUAAAUGAUUUAGUUCUCUUUAUCCCUUCUUUUUUUCUCUUCUUCCUCGUGAGAAUUUUCUUUUCACAUAUAUCUAUUUUUUAUACAUUAAUUUAUAAACGUGUAAAUUAAAUCUGUAAUCCAAUCCUUUAUAUGAAAAUUAACUUCACAUUAAUAUAUAGAAUUAACAUAAUUAAUUAAUUUCACAAAUUUUGUAGUAUUUAACAAAAUUUUAAUUACAUCUCAAACCGUUUAAUUUAAAAAAUAAGUUAUUUUGAAAAAAAUAAUGUGUUUGAAAGUUAGUCAAAACUAUAUUUUAAGUGAAUAAUCUAUUUAAACAAAAAUAAAUUUCUUAAAAAACAUUUUUUUUCUAAAUUAAUCCAAAUAGACCCUAAGUCUGGAACAUACGUUAAGUCAAAGUGAGGAAUUGAAGUGCGUACUCUUUUUAUUCAUUAGAAUAUAUUAUAUUUUAAUAUUUUAUUGUAAAUAAUCUAUAUAUAUAUAUAUAACAAUUUACAUUAAUCUACUCUUUUUUUUUUAUCUUUUCCUUAUUGUAUGAAUCGUUUUGGUGUGCAUAAUGUAUAUAUUGUAUUUGAUACCGUUUUAAAAGUAGGGAUAGUUGUAAAAUUAGUAAUUAAAUUCAAAAUAGUUAAGUAUAUAGCAACGCUUUUAAAAAUUUGCAAAUAUAGCGAAAUUUGUCAAAUUAUAUUAAUGAUACAAGUCUAUCACCGAUAGACUAUAUUGUAAAUAUUGAUCUAUUACUGAUAGAUCAUAUAAGUCUAUCAACGAUACAAAUCUAUCAGUCAUAGUCUUGCUAUAUCUUUAAUCAUUAUUUAUGAAAUGACCAUCAAUUACAAUUACUUUUAAAAGUAUUGAUUUCUUUUUCAAAAUAAAUAUCAAAUAUAGUCAUUACGCACAAAAUAUAUUAGUAAAUAUAGUAAAAUAACAUUUUCAAAUAUAAUAUAAUAAAUCAAAAUAAUUACAAAAUAUAAUAAAUUUUUAAAGAUUAUCAAUGAAAGACACUAAUACAAGUCUAUUAAUGCCUCUAUCACUAUGUUUCUCUAAAUUGACUUUUCUUAACUUAAUUAAAUUUCUUACUUAAAAUUUGACGAUGAAAGAACUAAUUUCUAAAAUUGUUUAAUUACGGCCUUAUCUUUUUACUUAAUUAAUUUAAUAAAAUAAUAGAUUUAAAAGAGAUAAAUAAUAUAUGAUGUAUAUGGAUCACAUUAUUAAUAAAAUUAUAUUUAAAAUAAAUAUAACAUUUGCAUCUAAUACAAUUUCUCUCAAAAGAAAAAAAAGAUAAAAAUAAAUCUUUUAUAAGAAAAGGCAAAAAAAAUUAUUCCAUGCAUCACCAAAAUUUUAUUGACCGGAGGUUUAUAUUCUUUUUCUCCAGCUAUGAUAUUUCAAAGAUAAGAGAACAAAUUCUAAUUUUUUCUAAAAGAUAUAUUUAAUUUUUUGUAUUUUUACUUUGAGGUGGUUUCAAUUCCAUUUAUAUUAGAGUGAGAAAACAAAAUAUUUACACAAUAUUUUCAACAUUUUUACCAUUUACAAUUACUUUCAAAACAGUUCGUUAUAAAUUAAUAGUUAUUUUUAAAAUAAAUAAGUAUAUUUUAAUAGUUCAUUCUAAAUUAAUUGUUAUUUGUAGCAUAAAUAAGUAUAUUUUUCAACCAAGAUUUGAAUAAUGAAUAACAAGAACUUAACUCAACUGUCAUAAAAAUUAAUGACCUACAAAAUAGAAAAACUCAUACAAGUAUGGUGCUUGACCACAAAAUAGAAAAACUCAUACAAGUAUGGUGCUUGACCACUAACACUCUAACGAUCAAAUUAAUAAUUGUUUAGAUAGAGCUAAAGAGUAUAAAAGUUCAGAGGUCUUUUAUCAUAACUCAAAUGAAAUGAGUCCUCGUGAUUAUAUAAAAAUAGAUUUCAUAACUCAAGCCAUAACUAAAUUGUUGUGCAUCCUCAAAUUUAUUUCACUAAUGACCAAACACAUGUGUAAAAGUGCAACACUUAGACAUAAUCUUUGCUAUGCCUCGUACCUAAGUAUUAUGGCUUGAUAGUCAACCCAAUGGGUCAAUCUCUUAAUUAACUAAAUAAAUCUAGGGUCGUCAAGUAAACAGUAAAUUAUGAGUUUUACUUUGGGAAAAUAGCAAAAAUAAAUUUAAAUUGUUAGAAUAACAAAACAUACAAAUUAGAAAAAUAAAUAAAUGAAACAAUCCCUCAAAUGCCCCUAUCCAAUAUGAAAAGUACAAUUAUUCAACUAAACCCCAAAUACAUUGUAGUUGAAAUAACAUGUGCUACAUAAAAAUUUUCCCCAAAAAACAUGAAGAUUAGAAAAGUUGCCAUUAAUGGAAAACUCCACCUCAUGCCUGAAAAAUUUUAAAUCUAUUUCAAGGUCCAAAAUAUGCAAUUCAUUUGAAAUUGGUAAUUGCAAAAUUGAGACACAUUUGAUUCAAGAGUUUGACUCUACACCUGUGUAGCAGCCAUAGCCAAAAGCUUCAAGUUGAAAACAUGAGAAUUGUUAAUAUUAUAAUAAAGAUGAAAUCAUGAAAUUACUAUAGAAUUCAAAACUUAUAUACAUAUUAGCAAGAUACGCAUUACUGAGUUCGUCUACUCAAAUCGGUGAGUUCUUCGUACAUUCGAGAUUCAUUUAAGUUAUUAUCUAUUGUUUGCAAGAAAAAAAUUUCUCUCUCACAUUGUGUUUGUCUCUUGUCAACUGCCCCUCUCUCAAUCUCUUUCUUUUCAUUUCUCUAAUAAAACCUAAAAAAAGAAGAUUCAAAUAAUUGCAAAAAUGUCAUUGAGAUAUAAUUAAAUCACAAAAUUUAAAUUCAAAUUGUUAUUAAAAAUAUAUAUUAUGUAUUAUUUAAUAAAUUGUUUAAAAUAUAACAAAUUUGAAAAUCUUGUAUAUAUAUUUGCCAUUAGCAUAAAUCUAACAACAAAAUAGCAAAUUUAGUUAAGAUUUACCAAAUUUGAAUGUUGUUUACAAAAUACAUCGUUUUAACAAAAGAGGCACAAUAAAUUAUUUUUUAAAAAAUAAAAAUCAAUCAAAAUAAGUGUACAAUUUGAAAUAUAAAUUAAAAUAACUAUGUAUUAUAUAAUAAAUUUUUUAAAAAAAUUUGAAAUAUAAAUCCUACAAAAAUUGGAGUAGUGAUUGUCAUUAUUUUAGGGAUUAAAUUUCAUAAUAUUUGAAUUUAAAAUACUAUGAAAUCUGAUGAAUGUAAUUUUCGAUGGAAAAUAACAUAAGUUUUAUGAAUUAAAUAAAUAAAUGUUAAUUAAUUUAUUUUAAAUACUAAAAAUCCAAAAAUUUAUUAUGAAUUGUAGGCAUAUAUUUAGGAGAUAUUGAAGAAAUCUUGUCGAUCUCGAAAAUAUCAUAAAUUUGUUAAUAUUUUCCAAAACUGAUAGUUAGUUUGCAAAUACACUAUUAUCGUAUGAUAUUUGGUCUCAUUGUUUGUAUCAUACGAAUACACAGUAAAAUAUGUAUUAUUCUACAUAAAGCCUAAAGGGGUAUAACACACGUAUUAUACUUCUUGAUUUAGACAUGCAUAACAAGGAUGAUUGGAAAUAAAAUGUUACAUACAAAAAAAUAAAACGUUUAAUUAAAAUAAAUAUAAAUAUUAACGUAAAUAAAAAACACAACGUGAAAAAAUAAUUAUCCGAUACAAAAGACAAAAUAAAUUAUUUUUUAAAUAAAAAUCAAUUAAAAUAAGUGUAUGUAUAAUGAUAAAACUUUAUUUUUAAAUUAUUAUUAUACGUACUAUGUGAUAAUUUUCUUUAAAUAACUUAAAAUAUAAGUAAUAUGAAAAAUGCUUAAUUUAUGCUUGCAAGUAUUUUAAGGAUAUGAGGUAAUAUUAGAAAUCAAAAUAUUAUGAAAUAGAAUGACUUGAAAAUUGUUGAAAUUCUCAUAACCAGUUUUUUUAUUAAUCACAUGUACUAUGUAUUAUCUAAUAAUUUUGUUUAAAAUAACUUAAAAUAUAAAUCAUAUGAAAAUAUUGAAGGAGUGAUUGUCAUUAUUUUAGGGAUUAGAUUUUAUAAUAUUUGAGUUCAAAAUAUUAUGAAAUAUAACGAAUGAGGAACGGUUGAAAAUCUUUUAGCAAUUUUUUAGAAAAAAUAUUUAUUAAACAUGAACUAAAUAUUUAAAUGUUAAUUAAUUUGAUUUAAAUACUAAAAAUUUGAAAAUUUGUUAUGAAUUACCGGCAUAUAUUUAGGAGAUGUUGUGAAAAUAUUGUCAAUCCUGUAACUAUCAUAAAUUAGUUAAUAUUUUCCAAAACUGGUUGUAGUUUGCAAAUACACUGUAUCUAUGACGAUGUGAUAUUUGGCAAAUACAUUGUAUCUGAAUACACACAUUAUCCUACCUAAAGGAUAUAAAUGGGUAAAAAAAAUCCAGAAAAUUCUGUUAGAAUUAGUUUUGCGAAGAUUCUUAAUAUUUUUCAGAUUUGCUAUUUUUCAGUUUGUUAUACUAAACUUUGCUAUUCUCACGGUGAUCUCGUAAAUUUAUGGCUUGCUGGGAGAGUUUGUACCAGUAGCCUCUAGAUGGAAGCACCAAUGAAUUUUUGUGCAAUUUUUAAAUUCAAAUAACUAAUGGUCUUAUGCUAAUAUCAGCCAUGUGUGAGUUUACCAAAUUGACCCCAUUUGCACGCGAGGGUAGUCCACUACCAAUUUCUUCUCGUAGUCCACUACCAAUUUCUUCUCGUUUCUCUUUCUCGUCUGUAAAAAACUUAACUACAAAAACCAUAACACCAAUUAGCUGACGAAUUCCAUAGUAGAAUGAUGACAAGAAUUGUCAGUAAGCAAUUGUGGUCAUCAAAGGCAAUCAACUUCUGUUAGUCUUUAAAAACAUCCAAUCCCAAUGAUAGAAACCGACAAAAGUGGGAGCUCAAAGAGUACUAGGCGAAGAGGAAAAGAGAGGAGGUUUCGAUGAUGACUUGGUCAAGUUCAAUUAUAGUUUGGAGUUUCAAAUUAUAAAGAGGAGGAGGAGUCGAAGACGUGUGGAGGUGCAGCAAAGUUUGGUGAGCUUGUUUAAUUUUUUCGAGGAGUUUGAUAUCGUGGUUUGAAGGAGAUAGGGGUAAAGAGUAGUCGAGAGUUUGACGAGGAGAUCAGGUGGUAAGAAAAUGGAGGCUAUGGCAAUGGGGAAUGAAUGAAUCUAUAUGGAAGGCAAUGACAAGAUGACCUCACUCAAGGAGGAGAAACGAGGUACAGGAAAGAAAAACGAGAGAAAGAAACAAGAAAAAAUUGGUAGCGAAUUAGCCUCGAGUGCAAAUGGGGUCAAUUUGGUAGAUCCACACGUGGUUGACGUAAGCAUAAGACCAUUAGUCAUUUGAAUUUGAAGAUAGGGCCAAAAUUCAUGGAAUCCAUUCGUACAAAUUUCUUCGGUUGCUAGGCAACCCUACGGGCUAGUCUAGUUCGUUCUUAACUAAAUAAAUUUAUGGCUUGAUAAUUGACCCUAUAAAUGAAUCUCCAUACUUAAUUAAAUAAAUAUAUGGUUUGAUAGUAAAUUCUAUGGGUUGACCUCUGUAGUUAGCAAAAUCAAUUUAUAUUUUACAGCAAAAUCAAGUCCAAUGAGUUUUUUUGUCGUUCGUUCGUUUUUUUACCAUAAAUAUAAAUACUUUGUAUUUUUUAAUUCUUCUCCAAAAAAAAAAAAAAUAAAAGGUAUCUUUUUACAAUUACCCUCUCCAAUUUUUAUUUUAAACUUUAAAUGAAACACGAAUAUUUCUCUCUGUAUAUAAAUUUGUGAUAGGACUAAUAUGUGAUAUCUGAUUUUGUUAUUUUCUCGAUUUCAAACUUUAAUUUAAAUCAAAGUAUUCUUUUUCCAUUUUCUGAUAUUCUUUUCUUUAGUCAAAAAAAAUAUUUAUAUUCUUUUUAUUUCAACAAUGUAAUUAUCCUUUUAAUUUCAAACUUCCAUUUAAAUUAUAAAAAAAUAUAUUUUUUAAUUUUGCAGAAUAUUUCGCAAUAGUUCUUUCUUAGUUUUUUUUUUUUUUUUUUAAUUUUAUCAAAGUUAUUUGAUUAUUUUCGUAAUUUCUUUUUCAAAAUUUAGUUUAAACAAAAAAACUCGUUCUUUUGUACAUUUACAAUGUGCUCUUCAUCUAGAUUUAUUUGUCUAAGUAGAAGAAGCCUUAAAAUAAUAUCAAUCAUGUAAAAAAUAGUGACAAACCCCUAACUGAUUGAUGUGCAUUUAUAAAAAUGGAAAAACAAACUAAAAAUGAAAUGCAUGAAGACAACCAAAAUUUUUUUAAAUAGUAAAAUAAAUUAAAAUAUUUAUAAAUUCAACUAAAAUUUUAGAUUCUAUAGAAUAUCGGUAUUUAUUAACGUCUAUAGUGAUAGAAUUUGAAAUUUUUGCUAUUUAUCAAAUUUGCUAUUUUUGAUAAUUUCUCAAAAUACAAUGAUUCACACCUUGAACAAGUAUAUAGAGAUAUAUGUGAACAUUUGAGGUCUCAUUUUACCUUUUUUUAUACUUUAUAUCAAUUUAGUAAAACUAAAAAAUAUUUAUAAUCUAUAUAACAAAAUCUUUCGAGAAUUAUUCGCUAGUCAAUAAAUGACUAAUGCUAUAUGCUACGGUUGGUGGAUAAAGAAAAUUGGAAUAGAAACUUUCAAGUAAAUGAGAAUGUUCAAGAGAGAAUAAAAUAAAAGAAUGACAUGAUAUUACUCACUCAUUUGUGUGGUAUUUUUGUAACACACAUGGGCCAUGAUCUUUAUGAGAAAAGAUAUAGAAUAUUUACAAAAAUAAUAAUUCAAGGAUUUAAAAAUAAUAACCCAAAGAGAUACAUGGUAAAUGUCCCAUAACCUUAUGACGUCUAGCUAGACCGGAGAUAUAAGUUAAUCGGGUUGGUGCUAGAAAUAAGAAUUGAAAAUGCGUGUAGAUGAAUUAUCAAACACCCGCAGAUGUCACACAAAGAGCGCAAACAACAAUUGAAAUAAAUAAAAUACCAACAACAAAUAAGACAUAGAAGUUGGUAACCCAAUUCAGUGAUAUACUACCUACGCCUAGUGAUAAUUUGCCCAAAAUAGACCAUCCACUAACAUUGAAAGUUAUGAGUUUACAACAUAACACUUGUUUGCAAAACAGCUCUUACAAUAGAGACUCACGUAGAGCUUAACUUAAUUAUGAUCACCUAGGUUUCCGCUGGAUGUAAAACUUUCUCUCAUCGUAGACCUAGGCUCCUCCUAAGUCUGAGCUCCCCUCACACUCGACAUGUUUAGGCUCCUUUUAGAGUGGCAAUAUUAGUGAUUAUCACUGAGUGCAGCUGCAAGGUAUACAAAAUUUUCAUUCUCCUUUUUUAAUUACUUCCUUGUACUGCAUCACCUCCAUUAGUUUCAUAACAAACAAGACAAUAAUACAAGGGUGUCAAAUGAGUUAACAAUCCCGAGAAAGGAAGACAAACCAUGUUUGUUACUCUUCUACUUUCAAUUCUUCUUGGCCUUACAGCUGUCCUUUUGGCAUUUGGCCACAACAUUUGGGCUGGAUUCUUUAGUGAUAGUCCUUUUUUUUUCAUGCACAAUAUCUAGCCAAUGGUUCAUCUUCUUCCUCUCAUCCAUUUCAAUUUUUUUCCACAAAUCAGCACUUCAAAACCCAUUUACACAGAAAGAGCCAAGUCCUCCCAUAUGUAUAUAUUUUAUCUUAUAACUAGGCCAAUUUCCAAAUUUUGAGGCACCCUAUAUAAGUUUGAUCAUCCUCAUGUCUUCUUCCUCACGCUCAUACUCGGUCAUUAUACAAUUUCCUCAGGGAAAAUGACUUGGUUUCUUGGUUUUCUCUUUCUCUAUUUCUUACUUCUUUUGCUAAUGCUUGCUGUGUUUAUCAGUCUAAAGCUAGCCACCUUUAUGAUUCACCUACUACAUGUAUAUAUAUAUAUUUCUAUUAUAUCUUUUACCUUUUUUCAGAAUAAUAAUAAUUGCAUGAAGGAUUUUGUCAUAUGAUUAUUAUUGGUUUCUCUUAUGUUAUGGCAAUGUGGCCUUGCAAUUCUCUAAUGGCUUCUUUGCAGCUGUUGUGCCUUCCCUGAUUUAUGCGUCUAUUUGAUACAACACACAAGGCAGCAAGUAUAAAAAGUUACAAGUUUAGUCAAUGGACAUUCAAACUAAUUUAUGCAUCUAUUUGAUCCCUAAAAUUUUAAUUUGUUGUUUGAUACGUCUUGAGCAUUCAAUUUUAUGUUUAUAGUUUUUUUUAGACAUGUUAGGUAAUUAUUUUGCUUUUAAACUUAGAUCUAUCAACGUUCAUUCCACCUCAAUUUUUUUUUUUUUUUUUUGCUUUUUGUGUUUGUCUAAUUUUUACCAAUGUUCUCAAAAUCGAAGUCAAAUUUUAAAACAAAAAAAAGAUUUCUAAAAAAGUUUCAGUUUUUAGAUUUUGAAUAAAAAAUUAACUUUUAUACUUAAAAAAAAAAGAGAAAAAACAAAAUUGUUGCAAACAUAUAUUGAAUGGAUCUUUCAUAUUCAAAUUUCUAAAAAAAUUAACUUUUGAUUUUUAGUAAUGUGAAUAAUGUUUGGAUUUGUGUUUGUGGUAUUGGCGAAUGAUUGGAGAUCGCGGGAGGUAUGCUAUGGGUUUCACUUUUGUUUGGCGGAAGGUAUGUUAAUAACAUGUUUCUGCAAAUUGGUGGAAAUUUGGUUAAUAUACUUGUAGCUUAGGUUUUUCAUUUAAGCUUUGUGUAAGAUUAGUGUAGUAGCUUAUGCUAGAAACAUGCAUUUUGGUUGUAUUCCUCUUUUCAUUCAAAGUAUUACCGUCGACCAACAUGAAAAGAAAAACUAUCUAAAGAUCUUUCAUAAAAAGUUACUUGCCUAAUGAUUCUUCUCAUUUUAUUUUGCUUUCUCAGCUUCCCUGUGUAAUAUGGCUUAUAUCAUUCCUAUCUUAAUUAUUAGCUUCUUGUUUUAAUUUCACAUUUCAUUUUGUUUUCGUAUUGCACAUUCAUUUAAUCUUCAUUCCAGCACUGUUCGAGCUCUCUAGAGUCCUUCGAGAUUCGUUCUACAUCGUUUGAGUUGUGUUCGAAUAUCGCUGAAGUAGAGUUUUUUUUUUUUUUUUUUAUCUAAGGAUGCUUUUCAUUCUAAUUGACAUCACAUUCUCCAAUCUUGGUGGUAAUAAUUCCAUUUACCAUCUUCGAUUCUUGAUCAAUUUGUGAUUUUGUUUCAUUUCAUACUCAGUUUAUUGUUUGUUUGAAUUGUUAUUGUUGAAGUUGAUUUUUGCGCAUUCGUGGUUUUGAAGAAUGGCUGGCGGAUUGAAAAAGCUUUUUGUAAAUCAACUUCUUCUUUUUGUUUAUUAUAUGUUGGCGUUGUCCCCCGUUUCUUUUUCUCACAUACUCAUCUUCUUCCUCUUUCAAUUACCAACUCUUCCCUUUCUCUUCACACAAAAAGGAGAAUCUAAACCUAUUGGCUCCAAAAUUACGGUAUAUUUUUUUAAAAUUUUUUGGACUCUAUUACUUUUAUUUGUGAAUUUUGCCUUGUGGUGUUGAGAUUAUGAACUUUAAUUGUAAGAUUUUUUUAACUAAAUUGUUCAUUGUUUGAAGUUGGGAUUUUGAGAACAUGAAUUAUAUGUGGGACUUUUUAGAUACCGAAGCUAAAGAGUGUUAUGUAUUUAAAAUCUCUAUAUGUUCAUUCAAAGCUUCUACUUUAUCUAUCAUCAGUCUCUAGUUAUACUUUUCACUUUGAUUUUCACUAAAUUGUAAAUAUAUUCAAUUUUGUUGUUUUCUAUUCUCUAUACAACACAUUCAAAUUUAAAGUUUUAUAGAGAAAUUAACUUUACAGCCAUAAGUAUAAUGAAGUAUUCUCAUUGACAAAAUUCAUGGUUAUACUCUCUUAAAUUACCAUUUUCUAACCUGUCCUCCAUUAAUUUAUCAAAUCACCUACACCAACACUUAUCUUACUUUUAUGGAUUAGCGAAACAUACUUAGUGCAUUGAAGUUACUAGGAAGCCGUUUUUUUUUCUUUCAAAAUUGUCUUGUUAUAAUUCUAAAGAUCAAAUGGUUUAUAAUGAUAUUGUUUGUAGAAUAAUUGAAGUCAUAUCUGAUUGAAAGCUAAGUGAUUGUGUAGACAACCAGACGAUCGUUGAAGGUUGAAGACUGAGAAGACGUUCAAGAUUUAUUAUUUAAUACAAAAGACUGAGAAGACGUUCAAGAUUUAUUAUUUAUGUCUUGUAUUAAGAUCUUGUUUCAUGUACUCAUGUAAAAUAUAUACAUAAAAACAAUAUUAAGAUUUCAUUUUGUGUAUACAAACAUGUAAAAGACAAAUAUUAUAAUUUCUACAUGAAUAUUAAAUUUAUUGAUUUGUUGGCGUGAAAAAUAAUAUUUAUCUACACAGACCAAUGUCAGAUUAUAAAAAAUGGACAAUAAUGCAACAAUUAAAUAAAAAUAAAUUUAUUAAAAUGGACUAAAAACAAAGGUUUUAAUGUUGUUUUUAAACCGACAUUGAAUUUUUUUUAAUGUCAGUUUUAAGGUCAACCAACAUUAAAAACCUUCAAUAACACCAUAAAAAAUGUUGUUUUUAAACUGACAUUAAUGAGGCAUUUGAUGUCGUUUUCAAACCGACAUUAAAGCAAACACGACAUUAAAGCCUUAUAAUAAUGCUAGCAUAGAUGUCGGUUGUCAACCACCAGUAAAGGCUAUUAAUGUCGGUUUUAAACCGACAUUAAAGGUCAAAUUUCUUCUAGUGGUAGAAUAUGUUAAACUGAGUUGUUGAGAUAUAUGCUCCAGGAAAAGGGAAUGAGUGUUCUACGUCACGUAAGGUUCAUGAAAUUGGCUCACUUACUUUCACUAGUCGUUGUUGUGUAAGUUGUAUGUGUAUCUGAUUUGCAUUCAAACUCAGGACAAUUUAAAUCAUUUUGAUUAUCAACUUUGAAUCACCAUAAAUUUUUGUGUAUGAUACUCCUUUCUCUAAUGCCAUUUGAAGAACAAUUAUCAAACCCAUAUAUCACCACUUCGUCGCGGUUCACCAUUAAAGUAUAUAAUCCAAGGUUCCAUAACUUUCGUGAAUAAAAAUUCAUCAAAGGCAUGUCUUCACAUAACUUCCAAUUUGAUGGAAUUUGGUGGCCUGCUAAAAAGUUCGUCAACGCACUAAGGUUCUGCUUAGAUAGUAAAGAGCAUGUUCCAUUCCCUUCUCCUUCUUUUGUGCCAACAAGAAUGUCCCUUAUUACCUUUCGUAUGCAGCAAUGUACAAUAUCAAUGACUUCUAGGCACUGAAGCUCCUAGCAUUCAUUCUUUAUAUUAUCAAAGACAUCCUGAUAAGCCUCAUCCCACACAAAUUUUUCUCUUUUUCUCAUCAACUUUUGAAAAGUUUGACAUCGACCAGCUAGGUUGGAAAUAAACAUUCGAAUGUAAGCCAAUCGCUUAUAGAGACUUCUUAAGUCAUGAAAACUUUUUAGCCUUGGCAUCUUGUGAAUGGCAACAAUCUUGGACUAGUCUAUCUCGAUCCCACGGUGCCUUACAAUGAAGCCAAAAUGCUUUCUUGAAGUCAAACCAAACGUGCACUUGAGAAGGUUCAUCCUCAUCUAAUAUUUUUUCAAGCAAUUGAACACAACUUUUAGAUCUUUCAAAUAGCCUUGUCGUCUCUUGGGUUUGACCACAAGGUCAUCAAUCAUAGCACUCGACAUGCUUAUACAACAUAUCGUCAAACACUUUUUGCAUAACACAUUGAUAAGUAGAACCAAAAUUCUUUAAUCUAAAGGGCAUCACCUUGUAGCAGUACAUUCUAUUUGGAGUCUUAAGGCUAACAUUUCUUCAUUUUAAAGGGCCAUCCUAAUUUGGUUAUAUCUAGACGAUCCAUCCAUUAAAGACGAUUUCUCAUGUCCAAUGGUUGCAUCGACCAUGAUUUUCGUGAUGGACAAAGAAAAGUCAUCUUUAAGGCAUGCAUUAUUUAGGUCAUGGAAGUCUACACUAACGCGAAGUUGCCCAUUUUUUUUAAUAUGAACAAUGUUUGCUAUCCACGUUGGAUAUUUAAUGUCGCAAAUGAAUCCUGCUUCAAUUAACUUGUUGACUUCAACUAUUAUUUAGAGAAUAAGCUCUGGUUGAAAGCAUUGUUGUGCUUGCUUUAUUGGUCAAUACAUGUUUUGAUUGCGGAUGAUGUACUGCUACUUUUGAAUCAAAUUCCAACAUCUUCUUGUAUGACCAAGUAAAUGUGUCCUUUACUCAUGAGCAAACUUAUAUAUUUACCCUUUUCUAAAGAGAAAUGUAAUAAUGAAAGUUGGACACGAUUCCUCUAUUGUACCAAUAUUCACCUCUUUUAGCUCAUCUAUGUUAGAUUGGCUACAAUCCUCUAAACUCUGUGGGGUCAAUUGUCUUUUCUAGAAGGUGUAGUUUACCUUUUAAAGGUUUGUCAGUCAAGGUUAGGCACUGAUUGGUGGCUCUCUUUUUAUCUCCUUUAUGCUUAGUCUUUCAAAUACUAGGGCAUGUUGAAACGGACAAUCUAGUUCGAUCGAAUGUUGAGGUUCUUUGACUAUCACUUCCUUUUCCUUUUGUAUUAUCGACAUAUUCUACAGUUAUAUGAUUGUUGUCAAUCACUCUUUCCUUCCCCUUUCUAGUUAUAUGCAUCGACUCUAGUGACUUGUAUCAAAGUCCUUUUCUUGACACGAUAUAUAAUGUUCUUCCCAUAAAAGCUUCUUUUGGGUUAACGAGAACUCAGGCUGUUCAUAAAUUUUUAAGCUUUUGAACUUGGCGUGAGCUGUGAAGUCAUAACCUGAUUUUGUCAUCAAUUUGUAAGCCUUUGGCUCGAAUCCCUCUUUCAUCCACCUUUGGAGCAAGUUUUCUUCCGUCAGAUCUAACUUUAUCUAUUGCUUCGUUGACUUAGUCAAUGGUGUAGUGAAACUUUCUUUUAAGAAUACAAAUGUCACCAAACUUCAAACCUUUUGGGGACUCUAGGAACGGUGACCCGCCCUUCUUGCGUUUCGAUAGAGGGACUAGAUCAAGACUGGCGGGUUUGAGGCCUUUUCAUCCUUUAAGGUUGUACUCUUUGUGGCACCAACAGAUGCCCAAGUACUCUUUCCAGAGUUAAAGGUGCAUAUACCUUAAUGUGAUUUCAUUCUUAUGCUUGCAGUAACUUCUGUUGUGAGUUAUCUUCUCCUUUUAUAAGGAGAAUUUUUGCAAACAUAACUUCUCGGAUAUUAUCACUCUUCAAAUAGAACUGGGCAUCUACAAAAUGUGAGACUCAACCUCUAAGUAUAGGUUAGAGUCGUCUUCAACCUUCUUUACACCGUCUUGAUAAAAUUUAAAGCAUUGAUGCAAUGUCAAAGUUACUACUUCAUUUCCAUGAAUCCAAGAAUGACAUAGCUACAACUUAUAAGUUGUCCUUGAGUCUAUGACAUGAAACAAUGCACUGGCCUUGUUGAAACCUUGAAUUACCAACUUUCUAUUUGAGAGUUCGUCCAUCAAGAUACCUAAUUGGCUCAUAAUCAACUUUAACAUUAUGUUGAAAAAUGAUCCAUUAUCGAUGAAUCUAGUUGACUCUUCUCAAAGGUAUCCAGAAACAUACGAGGGUCUAUUAUGAAGUUUGUAUCCCAAUAACAAAACAUCAUCUAUGAAAAAAAAAACAUUGGGAUAUUGGAUUACCAACUGUAAACGAUCAUGUACAAAAAAAAUAGUGAAAUCUAAACAAUCAUGUUCUAAAUAUAAACGAAAAUCUAAAUGAUCAUGUACUAAAAAAUCUUGAAAAAGAUUGUUGAGAUUUGACUACCCAAAUCUAAAGAUCAAAUCUAAACGAUCAUGUUGGAAAUCUAAAUGAUCGUGAAUCAACAAAUCUUGAAAAAAAUCGUUGAGAUUUGACUACCAAAAUCUAAAUGGUCAAAUCUAAACGCUCGUAUGCCAAAUCUAAAUGAUCGUGUGCUAACAAAUCUUGAAAAAAAUCUGUUUAGAUUUGACGUGUAGUAAAGAAUAACAAAAUCUAAACCAUCGUUUCUAAAAUAUAUUAGGCGUUGAAUAGCAAUUAAUCUCGAAGCAUUUUUGAGUGUGAAUAGCAACUAUCCUUUGUUUUAAUAAUUUUCUUGAAUGUUUAAAGAUCUUUUAAUAAAAAAAUUUGGUUAAUAUCUUUAAACAGUUACUAAAGAAAACACCUUCUAAAAAGAACAAUUAAAGAAAUAGUGUUACCGAUAAUGGAGUAAUUUGAAUUGACAAUAGAUCAUCCAACAAAAUAUUCAUCACUAGAAAAAGUGGUGAUGUAGAAGUUAUUUUUUCCUUCCACUAGUUGUUCACAAAAUGGUGACCCAUGUUUUGAUUGUUUUUCUCUUUCUGUGUAUUAAAUCGAGUAUUAUUAACUCACACUCAACUAACCUAUAUGCUACGAUCCUCUAAAACUAUAUUUCAAGUUGAAAAUUAGUUCUUUGAUGGUUUCAUUAUUCUCCUUUCUUUUGGCUAUAACCUAUAUAGAUCUGCCAAAAAAAGAGAUGAAAUAUAGAACUAUGGUUAGGGUAUAGGCUGAAUCAAAGCAGAAGGAGGUAUGGUUGGGUAAUAUAGAAUAACUAAACUGUUAUGUAUUUAAUGUGGUUUUCAAGUGUUAAAUAUAUUUUUAAUGUGUAUUAAUGCUUUCUUUUGUAGAUUAAUUGUACUAACAUUUUUUUAACUUAUUUUUUUAGGUGUUGUUUUGUUAUCAGCUUAUUUUUUUAGUCUUGAUUUGUAGCUUGACCUCAAACUAUAAAUAUGUAAAAAUGAUGAGUUAACUAUGGUGGUCUGGCCAUUUUUUUUGUUGCAUCAAUAUGUCUUCUUUAAAAUGAUAUCUUUCCGUUGAGGUUACAUAUAUAAAUUAGAAAAAUAAAUAGCACUAAAUUACAAAAUAAAACUUAUAUCCUUUAUUUAGAAAAAAAUAUCUAUUAUUUACAUUGCUAUAUUAGUCAAGACCUCUUAAUUUAUAUCUAAGCUUCUAACAAACAUCUUUCUCUAUAAUAUUUGGAAAGUUUAUUAGAAAUCAAGAAUUAUAAAAUUACAAAGUUUUAACUAGAUGGACGAAAAUGUUUGUGUGAUAAAUGACAAAGUGGAAUUUAGUCUUGUAAAAAAAGAAGUUAGAUUAUUAGGGCUAGGGUUAGGGUUAGGAUUUGAGAAGUACUGUUGCCAAAUUAAAGUAGUUGGAGAAUGAAAAUACAACAAUGAUUAAAGUGGUAAAAAUAGAAACUAAGAAUUGGUAGAAAGUGAUUGAUGGGAGAGGGAAGAGGGAAGAGGGUGAUAGAUUCUAAAAACAUCUUGUCUAAGCUUAAAAGGUCGGUGAUUCUAUCUAUAAUUAUUAUCCCCACUGCAACUUUCGACACACUUUUCAAAUCCAUUAAUCAUCUCUAUUUGAGACAAUGAGAGAAGAAUAUGGGUACACUGCUCUCUUAAAUUGUUGGUUUGGGUUAUUCUAAAACACAUGGACAAAUUUAGGUAAAAUAUGAAAAAAAAUCUAGGGAAAAAAGUUUAAGAGUAGGCAAGAUCAUUAUGGUGUAUACUCUUGUAUAUGUGGUACCAAAACAUUUCAGUUUCUGAGAGUGGGUUGAGAAACAUACUUACUUAUUUGAUGAUCAUUUCUGGGUUUCUGUUUAUAGGUUUUAAAAAACCUUUCCUAAAAAUGUCAAAUUUAGAGGUGUGUUAGUUCCUAGUUUCAUUUAAUUACGUCAAAUGUACAAAGUUGGCUAUGUAGGGUUUAGACUUUGGCUUCAAACCCUAGCUGUGUAGCAUGUUAUUUUUUGCUUUGUUUUUAAAUUUUAAUUACUGUUAAUAUUUUCUACCACAAUAUUUAUAUAGGCAAUACAAUUGAGUUGAUUCUAAGUUGACAUUGUCAUUUAUCACAAAGAUUUUGAGUGAGAGAAAACAUUGCAAAUCAAAAUGUGACUAAAAUCUAAAUGAUAGAAACACAUUACUGUUUGUAUUAGAUUAUGUAAGAUUUUAUAGUUUCAUUUUCAUGUGUUUGGAUCGAUGUAUAUUAAAAAAGAUCAUUAUCAAUCAAAUUUUAAUUUUUUAUUUCUUUCUUCUUAAGAAAUCAUAAACAAAAAUAAUUAACCUACAUGUUUUUCUUCCUAGGUUUUUAUUUUUUUAAAAAAAGAUUGAAGAUAAAAAACAUGAAUUAGAAAACUGAAAAUAAGAAAGGUGAAUGUUACUGAAUGAGGAGCCUAAAGUUUCAUGAAAACAUAGAUUUUAGUUUUGAACAAUUUACAUCUUGUAAUUUUAAAUUUGAAAUAAUUUAGUAAAUUUUAGAACAAUUAUCACAAAUUGUCAUGUUAGACGAAAAAUACAAAUAAUUGAAUUUGAUACUAAUUAAAAGUUACAUGUAUCCUAAAUUGAAAUUGAAGACAUAAAUUGGUCAAUCCUAAUGACUCUACAUGUUUUUCAUCCGGAUCAGUAGAUCAAAUUAACUAUUUUGAUUCAAUUAAAUGUUAUUAUUUAGGCUAAAGUUUAAUUAAGUCAAAAGUAGGCUUCAUUUAGGUCAAAUGCUAAAUAAGACCCAAGAGCUCAGGUCCAUGGGCUAAUCAACACACAGCCACAAAGUGCAACGGAGAACUCUAUAAAUAGAGAGGUUUCAUUUGUGAGAUUCAUAAAUUUUUACUCCAGAGAGCCUAAACAAAAUUCUCCCAACAACAAGAAUACUAAAUAGCUCCUUAAGACUGAAUUGCUCCUUGAAGCACAAGUUUUGUCACGCCUCGCCUCAAAGCAUUCUAUGCAAUGGAAUGGCGACGUACAUGACAACCUAGACAUUCUACGCGAUAUUUUCUGCAAAGUAAGGUGUUGAAUGUCUAGUAAGCGAAAUUAGAAGACAAACACAAGAAACUUAACGCAAAAUGUAAACAUUUAUAAACUUUGAGAAUUUCAUUGAUAAUUCUAAUAUACGUAUUUCCAUAACUUUUACAACAUUAGUCACAAAACUAGUAAACAUGACUCAACAAGACUUGGACUUCCCUCGCCUAGUUACUACUUGUUAUACGAGUAGACAAUGGUCACUACCAAAAUGAUGUGAUUAAGAAGACACGAUAGGCAAUCAAGACUGCUAGUUCAACGUCGGAGGUCCUUCGCAAAAUAAGGAAGAUAAAACAAAACAUUGGAAAGGUUAGACGAAAGUGCCUAGUGAGUGGGAUAUUUUAUCAAUCGCUUUAGUAAAAUAAAAUUUGAUUUAUUGCAACAUGAUCAUCUGCCCAAACAUGCGUUAUAGCAAAAAUAAAAUCAACUAUUACAAAUUAGAGAAACAUUUAUUCCGCCGUAUACAUCUAGCACAUAAAUGUGUAUUUUGCAAAAUCAUUCUGCAUAUCAAUGUUGUUUUAUACAAUUUUCUUGACUCAAGCGUUUACCACACUCUUUUGUCAAGUUACAGUCAUGCAGAAAAAUCUAGAUGCACUAGCAUAUAUCGUCAAUUUCCUUACGCCUAAUGCGUCUUUCGAUGUCAAAUCACAUAGCAAGCAAAAGACAUCCCAUAUCAGAUCACAUAGCAAGUAUGAGACAUCAUAUUCAAGAUCACACAAUAUGAAUAGGGCAUUCUAUCACACUGGGUACAAGAAUGUUUUAUUUCAGCUUCAUAACAUCUCAUAAGUCUCUUCCAAUUAAUACCAACGUCAUAAAUAACAUAUGUCACAUGCUUCGAUCAUGAUUACCAUAGGAGGUUCAGAAGAAUGGUUUUCGAGACGCUUACUUCCCUUGGAUAAAACAAAACUAGCCCCACACAUCCUAGAAUCUCAUAGGGUACUAUGUAUCAUGGAUUUAGUUUCAUUUUCUCCCAAAUCUAAUCAUUCCCUUCCAUGCUGAUAAAUUCAAGAAGACUUUGUCUCCCACCUCGAGUUCCAGUGCUCGGUGACGAUUCUCCACGUAACUCUUUUGUCUAUCGUGAGCAGUCUUCAAAUUUUCCUUGAUCAUGCUUAUGUUCUCUGUCGUCGCCUGGACUAACUCCGGUCUGUAUAAUUUUCUCUUACCAACUUCCUAGCAAAUUGGCGUUCUGCAAUGUCUUCUGUAUAACACCUCAAAGGGAGUCACUCCAAUGUUGGAAUGACAACUGUUGUAAUAGGCAAAUUCAAUCAAAGGAAACCGCUCGUUCCAACUUCCUUUGAAUUGUAGAAUGCAGGUCCUCAACAUAUCUUCCAAUGUUUGAAGGACUCUUUUAGAUGGACCAUUCGUUUGUAGGUGGAACAAAAACUUGCUUCAUGUAUUUUAUAUGCAUAUGUUCUAUCAUAUAUUUAUCAUAUUAGGCUCUAAGCGAGCGACUAUUUGGCGUUUGAAUAGGGUUAUGCGAUAAAAGGUGCAAUCCUAUUCAUGCGUUGCUAAUUUCUAAAGAUAUGCAUGUCAUGCAAGUUUUUCCUCUCCAUAACACAAGUGCAAGUGAAGAGUGGUUUCCUAGUAAGUCUAGGAUUGAACACAAAAAAUCUAAAGCUCCUAAUUGUCUUAUCGUGCAACUAAGUCAUGUGGUAUAAGCUAUACAGUAACAAAAUUUCAACUUUUGGACUCCAAUAAAGGCUAACCUUAAUUGUUUUUUCUUUGGAUGUUUUUAGUACAACAAACAAAAACAUUUAAAUACUCAAUUUAAUAAAAUACCCCCUCAUGUUCCCUUCCCUACUAUACUUUUUGUCCCCAACUAUUUUCUUAUAUUGUAGUUUGUAUCUACUUCUGAGUGCUUAAAUUAAUAAUAAAUUUUACUAACUCUCUCUUUUUUUAAAAAAAAUUAAUCUUAGUUUCAUUUUUCUUAGUCUCUUACUAAUUCUACCAAAGUUUUAUGUGGCAAAUUUUUUUAUUGUAUUCCCAAUAAAUUGUUAAUCUUAAGCCUUUGAUCGAUUCCCGACUAUUUUUUUAUUAUUAAAAGUACCUAGAUACUGUUGCAUUCCAAUUAGAUUGCCAUACCCAAAGUGAAUCAGUAAACCCUAAACAUUGUUAUAUCUUAACUUAAGUAUUUUGUUGGAGUGUUGUUGAUAUUGCUGUUAUAUCACUUGCUAGGUAGUAUAAGUACAUAAAUGUUGUAAAGGAAAAAGGCUAGAGUUUAUAGCUGAGAAAAUUGAUAAGUAUCCUAAGUAUGGUUUGUGUUAUUGUUAUAAUUAGGUGACCAAAGA